GGCCUAAGAGGGUUUUUAUAAAUAAGCAUCAACAAAUUGGUCUUGCGACGGGUAUAGAGAGAUGACCAGUUUACAGAGUAGCAUAGAGAGCAGUGAUGUGUCCUAUAAGGAGCAUUGGUGGCAAAUCUGAUGGCCGAAUGGUAAAGAACAUCUAGCCGCUAGAGAGCACCCUUACCUGCCGAUCUAAAAAUUACGUUACCCUGAUCUAUCAUGGGUAGAAUGGUCAUCUGAAUCAGGGUCAGUUUGGCGGCUGGGGUGAAAGAGGAGCGAUUACGAUAGAGGAAACCAAGUCUAGAUUUAACUUUAGUCUGCAGCUUUGGUAUGUGCUGGGAAAAUGUCUUAAAUGAUUUGACUUGGCUACAUGUAAAUUGACUUGGCUACAUGCAUGUUUUGUUAUUUCUGUUUUAGUUUCCUAUUUUACAAUGGAGGUCAAUAUGAAAACAAAAAUGGUAUUCACCUAUUUGUGUGCGUGGUCGAGGCUGAAUUGUUUUUAUUCUUACGUGGUUCCAAUCGACUGGCGGUACUACGUCUUGAAAUCGCUGUUAAUUCUGGAUAUUGUCGUUUUCUUACAACCAGGAAAUGUAGAUGGUACGUUUCUACAGGUGACGCGAGAUGCGCCUUCUUUUUCCCAACGCAGUUAAACCAAAACCACGCCCCGUUAUUCAGAGGCGUUCUGCAACGCUUUGAGCGUUCUCCAAGUCCGGAAGUGACUUUCGGUCACUGAUUAAUACCAUUUACCCUUGUAUUUCAAGAUUGAAAAAUAUAAUAACAUAAUGUCGUGGGCAGAACUAGCCAUUAACGUCUCUUAACGCUCAAAGACAGAUUCAAUGGCUGUAGCAUAGCGUAUUUCGAUUGAAUGAUUAGCUCAUAAAUAUUUGAGAAAUUAUAAAUAAUAAGCAUAAGACGUAAAGCCAGUUUCAGGUAGGAUAUUCAACGAAUAUUCACCUGUAGUUUUCCUUACGUCCACCAACUGUAUUUGGUGACAUAGUGACAAAUUACAUUUUCACAUUUCAAUAGCUCUUUAACCAUUACUCCUAAAAUGUUCAAACCUGGUUGUAGCUAACCCGAUGGCAUAGACACACAUUGCACACCCUUUAGUUUGUCCAUUUUCAUCUCACAUGAUUUUACAUGUGUUUUUCAAACAUUCUAAUUUCAAUAGCUCCUUGGCUCCUUGGUCAUACUGACUUCAAACAAGAUUCAGAAUGUCCACUGACUACUAUAGUUACUCCAUUGUACUGGAUCUAAUACCUAUUAGUAUUUUACAUAUAUUCACAAGUGUAAUCAUUUUUUAGGACAAUGUGGAAAAACUCUUGGCUCUGUCACUUUCAGACAUGUGCAGAGCAGACUGAAAGGGAAAGGGUAGCUCCUGACUUGAACCACAAGGGUUCUCUAUAAAGAGAGAGUAAUCCAAAAGGCACAGACACACCCCUUGACUUUCAAUUGGCACCGUUGACCUGCAUGUAAUUCUCUCCUGAUUUGUCUUCGUGGUGCUUAGUCAAUGGGAACUCCAUCUGUCCUGAUUGGUCUCCGUGGUGAUUAGUCAAUGGGAACUCCAUCUCUCCUGAUUGGUCUCCGUGGUGAUUAGUCAAUGGGAACUCCAUUGCCGGCCCCAUCAUAAAGGUUUUACACAGUCUGUCAGUUUGACUGACAUGCCAGAGGAAUGAGGAGAGACAUCCUCCUUUGUAUUCAUGGGAACAAAUAUUUCCAAACACUUUGGAUCCUAUUCUUGCACAGUUAGAAGACAAUGUGUCAAUGCAAAAAACAACAACAACAGGGCAAUAGUUUUUAAUCUGAAGCAGCCCUUCUUUACUGUAGUACACUAACCCCUAAUUGGGUCUCUUUUCUUGACACAUAGUAGCAGUUUACCAGAUAAGGAGACGUCAAGAUGAUCAAAAAGUAGAUUGUUGUAAAGGUGUAUUACAUGCUGUGCUGGCCCCAUUGUGAUACCCAUUCUGUAUUCUGACUGGUAAAAUCACAGCUGAAAAAUGCCUCUAUGGAUGUGUAUACUGUUGGUACAUGGAAUAUUCCUCAACUGCAUAAUCAUACAUUGUUAUUGCAAAUAGAAGUAUUAUGUUCAACAACUGAGAUAUUCAGAUAUGAUUUAAAACGAACACACGUUAACGCUUACAAUUCAUUUUCUAUUGUCAUAGACUUGAUGAGCACGGUCAUCUGUGAUCGUUGUGAUGAGACUUUCUUUAAGCACUUACUGAUGAAACUGUCACUUUGAUAUUUUUUUUCUAAAAAGUCUACAAACGCUCUACAUUUAUUCACUAUGUGAGGGUUGGAUCCUAUAUGCUACUUUUAUUAUUGUCCUGUAAAUGGCUCAAUGCCUAUAAUUUAGGCUGUGUGUAGAAUGGGGCAUAAAGGAAAUGACCUCAACUAGAUUAUAGCGAUAAGGAAAUCAGCAUACAGUUUUGGCCUGUGUAUUCAUUAGCCUAUAAAAUAAUCAGACUUCCAUUAUGUUUACAUAAAAAAAGAGAAUACAUCUAAAUGAGAAGAUCCUGCCAUGGAAAAGACGACUGGAUGGACAGGAAGUGGAAAGGAGGGGAAAUAACUCCCACCAUGCAGCAGGACACCUUCAGCUCUUCAGAUGGCCAAGGAAGUAGCACAGAACAUCCCCAACAUCCCCUUCCCAAAUUGAUAUAGAACCUUCACAAAAACACAUGGAGCAACAGUGAAAAGAAAUGGCUGAGGAUACACUAAAAAUGUCUGAGUUCAACAAAGCCAACAACUGCUUCAUGUGUGCCACUGAUAAAGAACCUGGAUGUGGCCCAAAGACUGACUGGACUGAAUGUUUUGCCAACGGUGGUUCCAUGUGCUGUGCCUAGGAAUGAAGACAAGAGUUCAGAGUGAAGAACACAAACUGGAAGUGCAGUCUGUUGUUUAAAAUGUAUGCUAUACCCCAUCCACACUGAAGAGGCUCUGACAUGUACAUCAACCAGGGAUAAAGAGGAGGUUAACACUGAAAUGUUUUGUGCUAAUUUGAAGUUAAGUGUCUGUUGACAUGUUGGAAAAGAUUAAAAGGUCUACAGUUUC
This is a long non-coding RNA of Oncorhynchus tshawytscha (Chinook salmon), 3036 nucleotides long. The record is from Ensembl. NCBI's taxonomy places the organism in Eukaryota, Metazoa, Chordata, Actinopteri, Salmoniformes, Salmonidae.